CCUACGGGGGGCAGCAGUGAGGAAUAUUGGUCAAUGGACGGAAGUCUGAACCAGCCAUGCCGCGUGCAGGAAGACGGCUCUAUGAGUUGUAAACUGCUUUUGUACAAGGGUAAACCUGAAUACGUGUAUUCAGCUGAAAGUACUGUACGAAUAAGGAUCGGCUAACUCCGUGCCAGCAGCCGCGGUAAUACGGAGGAUCCAAGCGUUAUCCGGAUUUAUUGGGUUUAAAGGGUGCGUAGGCGGAUUGAUAAGUUAGAGGUGAAAUGUCCGAGCUUAACUCGGGAACUGCCUCUAAUACUGUUGAUCGAGAGAGUAGAUGCGGUAGGCGGAAUGUAUGGUGUAGCAGUGAAAUGCUUAGAGAUCAUACAGAACACCGAUUGCGAAGGCAGCUUACCAAUCUAUAUCUGACGUUGAGGCACGAAAGCGUGGGGAGCAAACAGGAUUAGAUACCCCAGUAGUC
RNAcentral lists this ribosomal RNA (460 nucleotides) under uncultured bacterium. RNAcentral describes it as "partial 16S ribosomal RNA". It matches the Rfam family "Bacterial small subunit ribosomal RNA", at positions 338 to 795 of the family's 1533-position model. The record is from RNAcentral.